RNAcentral lists this ribosomal RNA (456 nucleotides) under uncultured Rhodoferax sp. RNAcentral describes it as "bacterial SSU rRNA". It matches the Rfam family "Bacterial small subunit ribosomal RNA", at positions 923 to 1382 of the family's 1533-position model. Lineage: Bacteria; Pseudomonadati; Pseudomonadota; Betaproteobacteria; Burkholderiales; Comamonadaceae. The record is from RNAcentral.
GCACAAGCGGUGGAUGAUGUGGUUAAUUCGAUGCAACGCGAAAACCUUACCACCUUUGACAUGUACGGAAGCCUUUAGAGAUAGAGGCGUGCUCGAAAGAGAGCCGUAACACAGGUGCUGCAUGGCUGUCGUCAGCUCGUGUCGUGAGAUGUUGGGUUAAGUCCCGCAACGAGCGCAACCCUUGUCAUUAGUUGCUACAUUCAGUUGGGCACUCUAAUGAGACUGCCGGUGACAAGCCGGAGGAAGGUGGGGAUGACGUCAAGUCCUCAUGGCCCUUAUAGGUGGGGCUACACACGUCAUACAAUGGCUGGUACAAAGGGUUGCCAACCCGCGAGGGGGAGCUAAUCCCAUAAAGCCAGUCGUAGUCCGGAUCGUAGUCUGCAACUCGACUACGUGAAGUCGGAAUCGCUAGUAAUCGUGGAUCAGAAUGUCACGGUGAAUACGUUCCCGGGUCUU